AGGCUAGGGAGCCGGAUGAGCAUACUGGGUGGUGAUUUGGUGAACCUCAUGUCCAACUAUGAUGUACCAGAGAGAUGGGCUAAAUUCUUUUGUGCUGAAGUAGUGUUGGCGCUUGAUGCUAUCCACUCCAUGGGCUUUGUUCACAGAGAUGUGAAGCCUGAUAACAUGCUCUUGGAUAGCAGUGGCCAUCUAAAGUUGGCUGACUUUGGUACUUGUAUGAAGAUGGAUAAGGAUGGCCUAGUAAGAGCAGAUACAGCAGUGGGAACGCCUGACUAUAUCUCCCCCGAAGUCCUAAAAUCUCAGGGUGGUGAAGGGGUCUAUGGCCGCGAGUGUGACUGGUGGUCUGUGGGUGUCUUCCUCUAUGAGAUGUUGGUAGGGGAUACGCCAUUCUAUGCUGACUCACUAGUUGGCACUUACGGAAAAAUCAUGGACCAUAAAAAUUCUCUUAAAUUUCCCGAGGAUAUUGAAAUAUCAUCUGAAGCGAAGAGUCUCAUAUGUGGGUUCUUGACAGACAGAUUAACACGGCUUGGGGGAAAUGGCAUUGAAGAGAUUAAACGACACACUUUUUUUAUCAAUGACCAAUGGACCUUUGAUACUAUAAGAGAAUGUGUACCGCCAGUAGUUCCGGACCUUACAAGUGAUGAUGAUACCAGUAAUUUUGAUGAAGUGGAAAAUGAGGACUCGUCAGAAGAAAGCUUUCCGACUCCUAAAGCCUUUGUUGGGAAUAAUCUUCCGUUCGUUGGCUUCACAUACUCUAAGGAUUACCGAUUGCUGAGCACAAUGGACAAACCUGAUGGCAAAAGAAAUUUGACGAAUGAUGGCACAGAAGCGAGUAAUCAAAUUGCUGUUCUGAGCGCUGAAGUAGAACACCAGAGAGUUGUAGUAGAUGAGCUGGAGAACAAGUAUCAAGUAACUUUGCUUCAACUUGAUGCCCUAACACGGAAGGACCAAGAGAGGCAGCAGGAGAGGAGAGAUAUUGAUAGAAAAUUACUAUUGCUACAACACGAUCUAAAGGAGGCUCAAAGAAAGGCGGACAAUGAAAUAGAAAGCAGACGUAAGUUGGAUGGCCUCUACCAAGAGGUGAAGAAGAAACUUGAGGACGAGCAAAAUAAACGGACGAGAGAUAUUGUCUCUGCUCAGCAUGCACACGAGAAGCUAAACUCUUUGGAAAAGCAGCUUAAAGAAGUUCAAGACAAAUAUAAAGUUGAGUCGGACAAUAACACGCGACUACGCAAGCAAAAUGCAGAACUGAAUGUAAUAAAUCAGCGGAAAGAUACCUCGGUGACAGAGUACAUGGAGAAAAUCUCAGCGGUCCAGUCAGUGCGAGACACCUUGGAACGAGACUUGGUGAACCUACAGACCCAGUUGGACCAGGAACGAGCACACAAGAACCAUCAGGUUGACUUGGUCUCACAAGCUGAUAUUAAAAUACAAGCAUUACAGUCCAAGCUUGAUAGUGCAUUCGAAAGAGAAGCGGUUGCACGAAGAGAAGCUGAGAAAGUGUCGGAGCGUCUUGUCCAGCUGGAAAAAGACAGAAACUCACUGGAGUUAGAGCUAAGAGGCAUGACAAGCCGGUACGAGCAAGAGGCAAGAGCUUUACGAGAAGCAAAUAAUGCUGCCCCUACACACAACCACCAGUCCAGUGCACAAGCACUAGCAGCCUUGCAGGAACGCCUAAAUGCAGAGAAGCAGAAACGUCAGCAAGCAGAGGCAUCUAGUCAGGAGAAGGAGCGUCAGAACUCGAUGUUGAGUGUUGAUUACCGGCAGCUGCAGCAACAGCUUCACAAACUGGAAGGAGAGUACCGGCAAGAGUGUGAAAAGGUCAAGGCUCUACAGAAACAGUUGGAAUCUGAGACUGAAAAGAGGUCCAGCCUUACUUCAGAUCUCCAGGCUCAGUCGUCUGAGGUUGCUCUCCUACGUACAAGAGAAAAACUGCUCACUCGUGAUUUAGAAGAAGCAAAAGAGGCACGGAAUAACUUGGAGGAAGAACUGCACAAACUCAAGACACAAAAGUCGGUGGAUGACAUGCAGAUGAGGGAACUGCAGGACACACUCGAAGCCGAGCAGUAUUUCUCAACACUUUACAAGACUCAGGUACGCGAACUUCGCGAAGAAGCAGAUGACAAGAGUCGGCAGGCAAUGGAGUUGGAAGAAGAACGCACAAGCCUUACUCAGCAGAUCCAACUGGCCGUGGGACGAGCCGACUCGGAGGCUCUUGCCCGUUCCAUUGCUGAAGAGACCGUAGCCGAACUAGAGAAAGAGAAGACGGUUAAAGAACUGGAGAUCCGUGAUCUUGUUUCCAGACACACUGCUGACAUCACAGAAAAGGACUCUAUUCUCAAUGUUGCAAAAGAACGUGAACAGGAACUGAGCAGAUCAGUGGAGACUCUCAAGCAGGAAAAGGAUUUGCUUAAUGCCCAAGUCCAGAAUCUUGAGGAAGAACACAAGAAAAUUUCUAAUGAUCACCAGGGUGAGCUAGAAAAAUUAAGCAAGCAAUUAAAACAAGAACAGCUUCUUAAGAUGCAAGCUGUUAAUAAAUUAGCAGAGAUCAUGGCUCGUAAGGAAAAUCUUCCAGCUAGUCGUAAACCUAAGGCCUCGGCCAAUGACCUGAGAAGAAAGGAGAAGGAAUGUCGUAAAUUGCAACAAGAGAUGACAAUGGAGCGUGACAAGUUCUCUCAAAUGGUGUCAAAGUAUACAAAGGAAGUCCAGGAUCUGCAAGCACUGUUAUAUGAGGAAAGUCAGGCUAAAGUCCGACUUCAAAUGGAGGCCGACUCUAAAGACUCUGAAAUUGAGUCUCUCACCUGUAAACUGGCAAACAUCAACAGUGAGACGGCCUCCCUUAGCAGUGGGGCAGAUAACGAUAUUGAUGAAUUAGAGUCUCGACUUGAGGGUUGGCUGUCCAUUCCCAAUAAACAAAACAUCAAACGCCAUGGCUGGCGGCGACAGUACGUGGUUGUCUCAUCAAGGAAGAUCAUCUUUUACAACUCGGAGAAUGAUAAACAAAAUUCGGACCCAAUUCUUAUUCUGGACUUAACAAAACUUUUUCAUGUUCGGUCUGUAACACAAGGGGAUGUUAUAAGAGCUGAGGCCAAAGAUAUUCCCAGAAUAUUCCAGUUAUUAUAUGCUGGAGAGGGGGAGAGUCGAAAGCCUGGCGAUACUCCUGGCCCUUUGGCUCUCCUUGAGGGUGCAGGCCCAGACAAAGCAGGGACCAUUGUUCACAAAGGCCAUGAAUUUUUGGCCAUUAGCUUCCAUAUGCCUACCAACUGUGAGGUCUGUCAGCGACAUCUAUGGCACAUGUUCAAACCACCACCAGCUCUCGAGUGCAGAAGGUGUCGAUUGAAGAUUCACCGGGACCAUCUUGAACGCAAGGAGGAACUGGUAGCUCCUUGUAAAGUUAGUUAUGACUUGAACACUGCCAAGGAAUUGCUACUGUUAGCUCCCACGGUCGAGUCCCAACAGAACUGGGUCUUGCGGUUGUCCAAGAAAAUUCAAAAGUCAGGGUACAAAGCCAACAAUGCUGGUGGCCCUGACGGUGCCAAAGUCUCCCCAAGAAUGUAAAAGCCUUUAGGACUAAGCAGCUUCAGACAAGAAGUAAAUGAGGGAGUAUUUACAAAUGAGUUUGCAGCAAAGAGAAUCAACCAGAUCGUCGUAUCGACCGUUUGUUGUACAGAAAUCUGCUACUUUGCCCCCUAACUCUAACUUAAGUAGAAAAUAGUGAAUUCUUAAGCCCUUCCCUGUUUUCUCACCUUGAGGAAUUUUAGUGGCUCUCUGAGAUUGCCUUGAAUAUAAAAUCAAAGAAAUUCUUACUGGCAUUUCUGAAACUAUUUAGACUUACGGAUAUCUGCUGAAUCCCUCCACAAUGCAGAAAAACAAUUGUUUGAACAAGUAAUUGAGGUAUUGUCUUCGAGUCAAUGUGACAAUCGCCUCACCUUGAAGAUAAAUGACUGUGCAAAACGGAUGUUGUUUUGGCCAGAAAGAUAUUAGUGUAUUGAGGACAAGUGCCUUAUGAAGUCCUAGUUAAUAAUACUUGAUUAUGUGCAUUAUUUAAAGUCCUGUUAUUCUCCCUCAGAGACAAGUCUUUGUAGUGACAUAAUUAUUAAAGUAAUAUUUUGCUGAAUUGCUCGUAACAGAAGAAGAGUAAGAAUUUUUGGUACAAGAAAGCCUUAUUUUGUAUGUUUCUAAUUAUCUGUAAUACUUAAUGCUUCCAGUAUACAUACAUAAGUUGUCCUCCUUUAUCGUCCAUUACCACAUCAGACUGCUGCAAGUGAGUUAAUGCAAGGAAACAAAUGACUGCAUUGUGUUGUGUGUGUUUUGUGAAGUCACCUAACUGUAAGCAGUCACAAGUUCAGUAAUUUACUCAAGGCAGUAUUUUGUGUGUGUGCACGUGUGUAUUUUGUAAUUAAUAAAUUUCAUGGAAAGUGUAAACAUUCCCAGUAUUUUAUGACCCUCUGUGUUAUCCUUAGUAUUUAACAAUUGGAAAAAAAUUUAUCCUUUAAAAUAAUUAAAAACAACAAAAAUUUGCCUUGGUGUCAAACUACUGUACUUUGUGGCUGUGCUUGUUGUGUAAAUAUUGUCCUGCAUGAAUGUGGUCUUGAAUGUGAAUAAUGAUAGUAAAUCAUAAUCAGAAGUUGAUAGUUGUGGUUGAACAAGACAAGAUUUUUUUAUAUAUACAAUUUGUAUGAAUAAUUAUAAUAAACUGAUAACCUAGAAGUUCAAAAUGCAAGUGAUUCCAUGAUGAGUCUUGAAAGUUAGGCUGGAUAGUUCAGAUGGGACUUUGCCGAGUCUACUGGUAGUGUGCUGCUUGUUAUAUAGCACCUGUCAAAGCUAAGCUGUCUUUGAGUUUAGUGCCACCCAUCUCCAUCCUGAAAUUCUUACAUGCCCUCUUGUAAUUUUGGUUUCUUUUUAUAUUUAUAUAUCACAUCUACUGGAAUACGAACUCGUCAUCACCUGUGGAACUCUCAUGAUGCUUUCACUCGCCAUUCCUCCCAAACUAAGGGUCUAGUCUGGAUUGAAGCAUCAGUUGAGUACUGCUGAGUAAGCUAGAAUUUAUAAGUACUAUUAUUAUUUCCCCCUAUUUGUCACACAAGUGAAGUCAUAAUGCAUUAACCUAGCAGGAAUAAGCUUCAGUGUCUUGUCAUUUAUAAAGGUAAAUUGUCAUGUAUAUCCAAACCAGUGUUGUUCAGCAUAGGUAAUCGUUAGUAAAAAUGUCUUUAAUAUUAUUCAGGGUGGUUCAUACUUCAGUUACCAGUUGUGUAGCCGCUAUAUAUUAGUGUGCACUUGGCUAGUAAAAGUCUGUGCUGAUUACUUGCUAUCUUUGUUCAUAACAUGAUCUUACUGACUUCAUUCCACUGCUUGUUAUUCUUCUUUUUGACUUGUAUUACACAAUGACAGUCACCAUUUUGUGGACACAUGACAAAUUUGCUUAGUUGAAGAGAGCACAAAGUGGUGACAGUGAUGUGAAGGACCACCAAUAAGAGUGUAGACUUCAUUUGUAGAUGUUUUGCCUGUUAGGGCAUUACUAAAUCUCGUAUUUGAUAAUACCCUUAUAGGUGAAAUUUUAUUUACAAAUGAUAUCUUUCAUCUCGGUUGUUCUCUAUGUCCUCGUCUAGGGAAACUUCCAUUUCUUUCUUUGACUUUAGAUUAUCCUUGUACUGUUGCUGUGUACAAAAAUAACUACAUAUGCAUGUGAAUGAGGAAGAUUGUUUCUUUAUCAUGGCUAAUAAUUAGGAUGCUAAUUGCUUAAAGUUUUCACAUAAACUUUCAUUUUGAUCCAUGCUGAAACCAUAGAAAUCUCAGUUCCUAUAAAAUGCCUAAUAAUCUUGCUGUUGUAAUUAAUGAUGAUGCAAUAUCAUAACACUAGUAGUAGUGUACCAUGUUAUAAUGUGCCCAGGUUCUCUUAUAUCAGGUAAUGUACAUAAUAAGUUUUUUUUUCUCACAAGAUCAGAGAUGAGUUGCACUUCAUAAAUUGUGAGGUAUAUUCAGAAAACAUGUUCCUGUUAUCCUACAAUAAUAUUCCACAUUUCAAAAUGUUAUGUUCAUUACUCAAACAUACUACUAAUAUAUUCUCGAAUAGAUGUACGAUUUAGGAUGCCAACAGAGUUCUCAAGAAAAUGAAGUUAUUGACUUGAAUCAUAAAUAUAAAGAUAUUGUGUAGGGGGGUGGGAAGGAAUUUUCUAUAAAUUACAACACUAUUUGAUGUGAUGCACAACCUGCAUCAUAUAAUAGCUGCUGGUUACAACUUGAAAGUGGAAAUUUAUUACAGUACUUUUUUUUUAUAUAGGGAGUUGUAAUGCAAUUUUAAAUGUGCCAUAUCAUUUUAUGUUUAGAUGUUUUAUUUACACUUUUUACAGUACUGUAUCAUGUUAAUGACAAAAUAGGGUAAGUACACACACCAGAACUAUCAUAUUUGGUAAGCCAUUUAAUUUUAAGUGUCUGAAGCAUUAUUUUGAUUUUGGAACACAUUCAUUUCAGUUUGUGGAAAUUUUCAUGGAGAUUUUCAAAUUAUAUAAACUUGUAUUUUUUUCAAUUUGAAUAAUGUUAAUUAUAAUUAUCUGUAUAUUCAGUUGGCUAAAGAGACAUCUGCAAAUAUUAUUAUUUGGUUAGUGCUUGAAUUGUAACAAGUUGAAUGACGGUUUUAUUGUAAUUAAACUUCUUAACUUUUAUUAAGUAAAUAAAAGUUAAAAGGGGGCAUGUUUUUGGAAAUUUUAUCUAUUUAACAAUAUCUAUUAACUGCCUCAAGCCUUAUCCAUUAUGCAUCACCUUCAAUUAUAAUGACUGUAAGGAAGAAUAAUUUUAACAUUAAUUAUUGAUAAGACCUAAGUCUUGGGGUGUAAAUUGGAUGAUUACUUCAAGAAUUCUAUUUAGUACUUUCAUGCACAGCACAUGUACUUUCAUUUUGACAUAAUGCUAGCAAGUUUGAAGGAUAAACACCCCCCAUAAAUGUAGCAAUUCCAGUAUUAUUACCCCAUUUCUUACCAUCAUUGGGUGGGGGAGGUAUAUGUCAGGAGAUAAACAUUGUAAACACAAACAUUGUUUGUGGUACUGUGUACCACAAACAAGCAAUCGCUAUCACACUCCAACACACUCGGCAUCACACUACCACUUUGUAAGACCAGUUGUACAGCUCUCCAAAUGCAUUUUCUUGUAACAGAGUUCAUGAAACUAAGUAACAUCAGCAUAAAACACAAUUUAAUUGAAAGUAGGACACUAGACAGUCUUCUCCUUUUGAAACUGAAUUUGCUAAAUUACAAUGAUGGACUUGUUUUAGUAAAUACUGUACAUUUUUUAGGUUAACCAUUUAGUUAUGUAAAUGCAUAUUUUUAUUAUUGUAUGAGUCCUUGUAUGAGGAAUAUGAAGCUGCCAAGUGUGUGUGUACCAGCUUAGGAAUGAGGAUAAAAUGUACAGGUAAAUGCAUUUGGUUAACAAUUUUUUUUCCUUUUUCUGUCUCUUUCUCGAGUGGAGGUGGUGGUUUGCAGAAGAUGGGCUUCCUUAAAAAUCCUUGUAGUAUAAUUCGACUAUUUAAAUCUGGGAGCAUUCUGAAUAUCUGAAAUAUUGUUUUGUUUGACUCUCGCCAAAUUUUCUGGAUUUCUCGGUUAAUAAUAUACAGUAGUGUAUUUUUAGCAUAUUGCAUAUUCAGGUAUACAAAUAUUAUAUAAAGAAUUAUAUAGUUUACAUGUAAAUAAUAAUUAUAGAGAAAAUUAAUACAUCACAUUUAUUUGUUCCCUUAGCACAGGCUGGUCUUGAUAACCCAGAGGCAGCAAAUGCAGUUUUAGUACAAUGUCAUGCCAUGUAUUACACUUCUGAUCCCACCUUGAAGACCUUAAUGCCCAUGGUUAGUGCUAUUAUUUCAACUAAAUGUAACUAUGGCCCAUCAAUAACCACCCCCAGGCAUCAAUGUUGUACUUACCAGUCAGUGUGUAACAGGCAGUGAGGUCUAGGGCACUGUGCCGCACCUGCUAGCUUUGUUGUACCUGUUGCAUUAUAAUUUUAACUAUUCUGACAUUUUUCUUUGUCGAAUCUCUUGUAAUCCAAAAUCCUGGUACAGUACUCUGAAAGUUGGAUUGUCACUAUAAUUACCACCACUGCAUUCCCUUUUCUUCAAUAUGAUCUGGUCUCUUUGCUUUAUCUUUGUAAAUACUACUGUAAUACCGAUUCCUUUCUUGUACCAGCCACAAUCACAUUUUUCUAAUACUGUAUCCUGUCUUUCUCUUUCACAAGGAAGUUUCUUCUACCUUCGUUUGAUGCACCCAUAUUAUUCUUGCCAGACAACAUGGUUUCAAUGGUCAGAUACUGUCAUGAUUUAUCAGAAGAAAAAUCAAUGAAAAUGCUUGAGUAUUGAGAAGUCAGACAGCAUUUUUACAUGGGGAAAACACAUGAUCAAUAUAGGUUCUGUUGCAUCAAUAGUAGUUUCACUUGAAUUUUUUAACAAUGUAUAGUGUAAUGCAAGUUUAGGAAACGUGUGUAAAAUAUCCAGUACAGUAUAUGCCUUUUUGAUAAUUACUGAUUCUUCCAUUAUCCAAUUUUUGAACAAGGAAUAAAUAAUUGUGAAAAACAGUGAGCAGAUUUGAUGUUUUGAGGUAUUCAUUAUAUGGAAGCCUGCAUUUUGAGGGAGCGAGUAUGUAAAAUACCUCAAGGAUAAAAUUGUGUGGAAACUGCAUUGCAGGAUUGUCAGGCAUUGAUGUAAGCAAUGAAACACAAUGUGCAUCUCAUCACUUUUGCAAUACUGUAGUAAUUAAUUUUUACUGCCUUAUUGUUUUAAAUUAAUUUAAAAAUAACAUAGUAAUUUACACAGCUUAAUUAUUGCAAAUCUAAUAGCAAGUUUUGAAAGUUGUUAAAUUUUUUUAAUUUUCAGCCUCUCUUUACAUAUGAUUGACAAUAUUAAGGUUUGGUUUGCAGAAAAGGCCAGAAUGUACUAACUGCAAGUGGUGGCUGUUGUGGUUCAGAUGGUUCAGAAUGCAUUAGUUACCAGGGAUUAGGGAAGUUCAUAUACGUACACUCUAAAAAAAAUAUUUUACAUAAUAAAAUUGGUAAUGCACCAGUUAUUAAAAACACUGCAAGUACAUCUAAUGUGAAAAUCUGAAUUAAGGUUGCUAGAGUAAGCUUAUGUGGCAUAUAUUUAAAAAAAAUAAAUUUGCAAUUCAGCUUGAGAGAAAUCCUUAUGGAAUAUGUGAAGAAUAUAUUGCUGUGAUAAGGUAUAUGUAUUUAGAUGUAAGGAACUGAAAGGGAUUGGGUGGUGGUCUCCAGUUUUGUGGAUACUGCUGCGGAUACUUAUGUGCUUUUAAAUACUCGUGUUGGACAUGCUGCAAUAGUGCAAUGUAAUUGUUUACCCUGCCACACCUUACCGUCUGUUUUUGUUACUUCCCUUCAGUAUCGGCACAAACAGGAAUACCUGCAUUCACAAAGUCACGUUUUGCAGUACUGUUAAAUGUAUACUAUUAAUUUGUUUUCAUCUCUAAUGUAUACUAUAGUGAAAUAUUUAUUAUUCCAUGACCAAUUUUGCAUUAUUUUGAAGUAGCUGUGAUUUUCUUCAGUUUUAUGAUCUAAUAAGUUAAAGGGCAACCAUCUCAUAUGGGAACUAUUCUCUUGUGGCAAAACAGUCAGUGAAAUUUGAUAGACUAAUCGUAGGGCACGUUUCAAGUGAUGUACUGUAGUUUACCAAUGCCUCAGAAAUAGAAUUUGAAAUAGGAUGAAAAUUCCUGUUAUCUUGACAGUGUUAGGCCUAUUUGUGUUUUAUCAGUAAAUGUUUAUAUUUUACCUUGGAUUGUGUAUUUCUACAUAGGCAUUAUUUGAAGCAUUAUGUCUACAGUCUACUCAUCUUUUUUCAUAACACUGUUGAAAGUGGUACAUUUUAAUCCCAAACUAAGCCCGUUAUUAUUGGUGUAACCACAUUAUCUGGGUUUAUUUAAAAGUAAAUGUUGCGUACAAAUCUCGAAUCCCACCCAGCUUUCACUGACCCAUGUCCUGAGCUUCAGGGAUCUUAAGGGAUCAUUGUUUUGCAAUGUUAGAAAUAAUAAGGUUUAUGGUCAACUAAUGGUAACCUUUCUCUUAAGUAAAUUUUGUAGGCAUUUGGACAAAUUCUGAUAAAGCUCAUAAAUGGAAAAUCUAGGAAUUGUAUCCUCCCAGUUUUUUUUUCUUGGAACUUGAUAUUUCCUCAGUUUCAAUAUUGAACAAGCUUUGUAUAUGGCUGUUACUUUAAAAAUAUUUUGUGUACCCUGUGGGUGACACACUCAGUGAUUAGCAUUUAAGGGAGAGAGUCCCAGUUCCAGCUUGUUGCCUCAGUAUCCAAGAGUCCCUCUGAAGGUAUCCCAGUCGGUGAAUUUGCUGGCUUUUCUGCAAAUUGUUUUUAUCAGGUCUUACAUUUGAACUUUGUAACAACUUAUGACUUGGUUAUUGCAGUUUGUCAUCUUGUUCUGCGAAAAAAGUAUAUUUGAAGUUGAAUUAUCCAAAGAGGAAUGGCUGCCUGUGGGUUGUGUAGAAGAGAACUUUCUGAAAAAGUAAAUUUUUAUGAAAAAC
This is a non-coding RNA of Procambarus clarkii (red swamp crayfish), 10512 nucleotides long. The record is from RefSeq and is a predicted model, not a curated record. Lineage: Eukaryota; Metazoa; Arthropoda; Malacostraca; Decapoda; Cambaridae.